UUUUUCUUCUGCGCGUUCACGUUAGUGCCUCUUAAAAUACAUUUUCUGAUGUGUUCUCUCUCUUAUCUCCUGUAGCUGUGCUUAGCUUCCUGUGCGUGUGUUGCUUUUAUUCCCGUGACCUUCCCAUCUGCUCCAAAACACACACAGAUCUUGCAUAAAGCUCUACACACCAGAUCUGCCUCCUUCCGUUAGUCAUUUACUCCCUCCGGCCGAUCUCCAACUCUAGUCAUCUGCAUCCAACCGAUCUCCAGCUCAUUGCCGUCCUUUCUAGCGUCCACCGUGUCCUUGCUUCGGAGUGCUUCUUCUUCUUGUCGCCUCUCGAUCCUACUGUGUCCAUCGGAUCUACACUUCCCAUCGCUGGAUCUGCUCUCCAUCGCUUGUCUUUGUUAAGCAUUCUCUUCCCGAAUGUCGCGUUUUGAUUACUUAUAUUUUAUAUACCUCUCGACUCAAGACUGCUCGUGCUUGUCCUCGUGUGGCGUACCAAUCGGAGAUACAUGGAAAGGGAGAUGCCAGCCUACAGUAGGGACCGGGAGUGGGUCUUAGUUGUCUUCACCUUUAAUUAUUAAAUAACAAUAUUAAAUGUUAGUGAUUGUUAAUUAUUAGUUGAUCAAUUGAACUGAAGAGAGUUGGGAGGGGCAUUCUGGCAAGUCUUGAACUGUACUAUAUCCAAAUCAUCAACAUAUUUAUCUUAUGUUUGGAUUAUGUUUUCAAGAUUAUAUAGCAUGGGUUAGAUCAAUCAAAAGCAACUUAAGUUAGCUUUUGUCUAAUCUUUAAUUUGUAAACUUUGUGGAAAUGUCAGUCUUGUAAACGGGCACUACACUCGGGGUUAGAUUGUCAAUUUUUGAGUAAAAAAUAAAUAUAAUUAGAAGGAAUAUAUUCUCUUGUCUUCA
Prosopis cineraria is the source of this 890-nucleotide long non-coding RNA. RefSeq lists it as uncharacterized. The transcript is spliced from 2 exons. The record is from RefSeq and is a predicted model, not a curated record. Lineage: Eukaryota; Viridiplantae; Streptophyta; Magnoliopsida; Fabales; Fabaceae.